RNAcentral lists this ribosomal RNA (660 nucleotides) under Lactococcus lactis. RNAcentral's name for it is "bacterial SSU rRNA". It matches the Rfam family "Bacterial small subunit ribosomal RNA", at positions 49 to 694 of the family's 1533-position model. Lineage: Bacteria; Bacillati; Bacillota; Bacilli; Lactobacillales; Streptococcaceae. The record is from RNAcentral.
CUAUACAUGCAGUUGAGCGCUGAGGUUGGUACUUGUACCAACUGGAUGAGCAGCGAACGGGUGAGUAACGCGUGGGGAAUCUGCCUUUGAGCGGGGGACAACAUUUGGAAACGAAUGCUAAUACCGCAUAAAAACUUUAAACACAAGUUUUAAGUUUGAAAGAUGCAAUUGCAUCACUCAAAGAUGAUCCCGCGUUGUAUUAGCUAGUUGGUGAGGUAAAGGCUCACCAAGGCGAUGAUACAUAGCCGACCUGAGAGGGUGAUCGGCCACAUUGGGACUGAGACACGGCCCAAACUCCUACGGGAGGCAGCAGUAGGGAAUCUUCGGCAAUGGACGAAAGUCUGACCGAGCAACGCCGCGUGAGUGAAGAAGGUUUUCGGAUCGUAAAACUCUGUUGGUAGAGAAGAACGUUGGUGAGAGUGGAAAGCUCAUCAAGUGACGGUAACUACCCAGAAAGGGACGGCUAACUACGUGCCAGCAGCCGCGGUAAUACGUAGGUCCCGAGCGUUGUCCGGAUUUAUUGGGCGUAAAGCGAGCGCAGGUGGUUUAUUAAGUCUGGUGUAAAAGGCAGUGGCUCAACCAUUGUAUGCAUUGGAAACUGGUAGACUUGAGUGCAGGAGAGGAGAGUGGAAUUCCAUGUGUAGCGGUGAAAUGCGUAGA